RNAcentral lists this ribosomal RNA (620 nucleotides) under uncultured soil bacterium. RNAcentral's name for it is "bacterial SSU rRNA". It matches the Rfam family "Bacterial small subunit ribosomal RNA", at positions 35 to 660 of the family's 1533-position model. The record is from RNAcentral.
GCUGGCGGCGUGCCUAACACAUGCAAGUCGAACGGGACUGGGGGCAACUCCAGUUCAGUGGCGGACGGGUGCGUAACACGUGAGGAACAUGACUUUCGGCGGGGGAUAGCCGGCCCAACGGCCGGGUAAUACCGCGUACGACCUUUCGGGGACAUCCCCGGUUGGUGAAAGCAGCAAUGCACCGAAAGAGUGCCUCGCGGCCUAUCAGCUAGUUGGUGGGGUAACGGCUCACCAAGGCGACGACGGGUAGCUGGUCUGAGAGGAUGGCCAGCCACAUUGGGACUGAGACACGGCCCAGACUCCUACGGGAGGCAGCAGUGGGGAAUAUUGCGCAAUGGGCGAAAGCCUGACGCAGCGACGCCGCGUGUGGGAUGACGGCCUUCGGGUUGUAAACCACUGUCGGGAGGGACGAAUGCGCCGCAAGGCGAGUGACGGUACCUCCAAAGGAAGCACCGGCUAACUCCGUGCCAGCAGCCGCGGUAAUACGGAGGGUGCGAGCGUUGUCCGGAAUCACUGGGCGUAAAGGGCGCGUAGGCGGCCUGAUAAGUAGGGGGUGAAAUCCUGAGGCUUAACCUCAGGGCUGCCUUCUAAACUGUCAGGCUCGAGCACAGUAGAGGCAG